GACGAACCGUGCGAACGUUAUUCGGAAUCACUGGGCUUAAAGCGCGUGUAGGCGGGAGGGCACGUCCGUCGCUGAAAUCCCCCGGCUCAACCGGGGAACGGGCGCGGAUACGACCUUCCUGGAGGGGCGUAGGGGGACCUGGAACUUCCGGUGGAGCGGUGAAAUGCGUAGAGAUCCGGAGGAACACCGACGGCGUAGGCAGCGCCCUAGACGAGACCUGACGCUCAGGCACGAAAGCGCGGGGAGCGAACAGG
This 254-nucleotide ribosomal RNA is filed under the name uncultured bacterium. RNAcentral describes it as "partial 16S ribosomal RNA". It matches the Rfam family "Bacterial small subunit ribosomal RNA", at positions 524 to 776 of the family's 1533-position model. The record is from RNAcentral.